Zootermopsis nevadensis is the source of this 407-nucleotide long non-coding RNA. RefSeq lists it as uncharacterized. The record is from RefSeq and is a predicted model, not a curated record. Lineage: Eukaryota; Metazoa; Arthropoda; Insecta; Blattodea; Termopsidae.
CAGCCUGGCUUCUGGACAUUAUUACAAGGUGCUGUUUCUUAGCUGGUUAUUCAAUUGCGUUCUUGCUAUUCGACAUUCUUCUGCAGUCUUGUUGUUUAUUUUCUGAAGAUACAGUUCUGUUGAUGACAAAGAUAAUCAACAACGCAGAAAACGCUUGGACGAUUGUUAACGUCUCGAGGACUGUGUUCUGCAACCCACACAAUGGACUGCAUAUGGGGGCACAACGAGAAGGUGCCGAAUCUCUGUGAAACAUAAUGUAAAAUGGAUAUUUGCAAUUGAUGGUGAUUCUCAAGAAGACAGGAAACAUACAAUGUCGCAAUGAUGUGGAAACAAUCACAGUCCGUGCUGGAGUUUGAAACAACAACAUCUACCUGUUUUAAAAAAACGUAAAGGAAAGGCAAUUACAC